This 253-nucleotide ribosomal RNA is filed under the name uncultured bacterium. RNAcentral's name for it is "partial 16S ribosomal RNA". It matches the Rfam family "Bacterial small subunit ribosomal RNA", at positions 524 to 776 of the family's 1533-position model. The record is from RNAcentral.
UACGGAGGGGGCUAGCGUUGUUCGGAAUUACUGGGCGUAAAGCGCACGUAGGCGGCUUUGUAAGUUAGAGGUGAAAGCCCAGGGCUUAACCCUGGAAUUGCCUUUAAGACUGCAUCGCUAGAAUCGUGGAGAGGUGAGUGGAAUUCCGAGUGUAGAGGUGAAAUUCGUAGAUAUCUGGAGGAACACCGGUGGCGAAGGCGGCAUCCUGGACCAAUUCUGACGCUGAGGAGCGAAAGCCAGGGGAGCAAACGGG